RNAcentral lists this ribosomal RNA (497 nucleotides) under uncultured bacterium. RNAcentral describes it as "partial 16S ribosomal RNA". It matches the Rfam family "Bacterial small subunit ribosomal RNA", at positions 28 to 507 of the family's 1533-position model. The record is from RNAcentral.
GAUGAACGCUGGCGGCGUGCCUAAUACAUGCAAGUCGAGCGAACGGACGAGAAGCUUGCUCCUCUGAUGUUAGCGGCGGACGGGUGAGUAACACGUGGAUAACCUACCUAUAAGACUGGGAUAACUUCGGGAAACCGUAGCUAUUCCGGAAAAAUUUUUUGACCAACUAGCUUCAAACGUUAAAGUGGGUAUUCGGUUACGUAAUGGCUGACCCAGCCUUCCAUUCCUAGGUUGUUAAGGAAACGGCUUACCAAGGCAAGGAGGGAUACCCGACCUGAACGGGAGGUCGGCCAGACUGGAACUGAGACACGGUCCAGACUCCGACGGUAGGCAACAGUAGGGAAUCCUCCGCGAUGGGCGAAAGCGUGACGGAGCAAAGCCGCGGGAGUGAUGAAGGUCUUCGGAUGGGAGAGCGAUGUUAUUAGGGAAGAACAAAUGUGUAAGUAACUGUGAACAUCAUGACGGUACCUAAAGAGAAAGCCACGGCUAACUACGUG